AUUGAACGCUGGCGGCAGGUCUAACACAUGCAUGUCGAGCGGAGCGGCGGACGGGUGAGUAAUGCCUAGGCAUCUGCCUGGUAGUGGGGGAUAACGUCCGGAAACGGGCGCUAAUACCGCAUAAUAUCAGAUGAGCCUAGGUCGGCUUAGCUAGUUGGUGGGGUAAAGGCCUACCAAGGCGACGAUCCGUAACUGGGCUGAGAGUAUGAUCAUUCAGAGUGGAACUGAGACACGGUCAAGAAUACUACGAGAGAGAGCAGUGGGGAAUAUUGGACAAGGGGUGAAAGCCUGAUCCAGCCAUGCAGCGGGUGUUAAGAAGGUCUUCGGAUUGUAAAGCACUGUAAGUUGGGAGGCGUAAGCAACAGAAUAAGCACCGGCUAACAUCGUGCCAGCAGCCGCGGUAAUUC
RNAcentral lists this ribosomal RNA (407 nucleotides) under uncultured bacterium. RNAcentral describes it as "partial 16S ribosomal RNA". It matches the Rfam family "Bacterial small subunit ribosomal RNA", at positions 30 to 526 of the family's 1533-position model. The record is from RNAcentral.